AACGAACGCUGGCGGCAGGCCUAACACAUGCAAGUCGAGCGCACCCUUCGUGGGGGGCGGCUGACGGGGGAGUAACGCGGGGGAACGUGCCGUUCUCUGCGGAAUAGCAUCUUUAAGCUGAGGGUAAUACCGCAUACGUCCUGUGGGGAAAAGAUUUAUCGUAGAAGUAACGGCACGAGUUGGUUUAGGUAGGUGGGGUGGUAAUGGCCCACCAAGGCGACGAUCCAUAGCUGGGUACAGAGGAUGAGCAGCCACACUGGGACUGAGACACGGCCGAGAAUACUACGGGAGGGAGCAGUGGGGAAUCUUAGCAUAUCGGGGCAAUGAUGAUCGAGUUAGGCUGCGUGAGUGCUGAAGGCCUUAGGGAUGUAAAGCUGUUUAAGAUGGGAAGAUAAUGACGGUACCCGCAGAAGAAGCCCCGGCUAACUCCGUG
RNAcentral lists this ribosomal RNA (433 nucleotides) under uncultured bacterium. RNAcentral describes it as "partial 16S ribosomal RNA". It matches the Rfam family "Bacterial small subunit ribosomal RNA", at positions 29 to 507 of the family's 1533-position model. The record is from RNAcentral.